This 525-nucleotide ribosomal RNA is filed under the name uncultured bacterium. RNAcentral's name for it is "bacterial SSU rRNA". It matches the Rfam family "Bacterial small subunit ribosomal RNA", at positions 984 to 1509 of the family's 1533-position model. The record is from RNAcentral.
ACAUCCAGAGAACUUAGCAGAGAUGCUUUGGUGCCUUCGGGAACUCUGAGACAGGUGCUGCAUGGCUGUCGUCAGCUCGUGUUGUGAAAUGUUGGGUUAAGUCCCGNAACGAGCGCAACCCUUAUCCUUUGUUGCCAGCGGUCCGGCCGGGAACUCAAAGGAGACUGCCAGUGAUAAACCGGAGGAAGGUGGGGAUGACGUCAAGUCAUCAUGGCCCUUACGAGUAGGGCUACACACGUGCUACAAUGGCGCAUACAAAGAGAAGCGACCUCGCGAGAGCAAGCGGACCUCAUAAAGUGCGUCGUAGUCCGGAUUGGAGUCUGCAACUCGACUCCAUGAAGUCGGAAUCGCUAGUAAUCGUAGAUCAGAAUGCUACGGUGAAUACGUUCCCGGGCCUUGUACACACCGCCCGUCACACCAUGGGAGUGGGUUGCAAAAGAAGUAGGUAGCUUAACCUUCGGGAGGGCGCUUACCACUUUGUGAUUCAUGACUGGGGUGAAGUCGUAACAAGGUAGGCGUACGUGU